This 467-nucleotide ribosomal RNA is filed under the name uncultured bacterium. Its description in RNAcentral is "bacterial SSU rRNA". It matches the Rfam family "Bacterial small subunit ribosomal RNA", at positions 328 to 792 of the family's 1533-position model. The record is from RNAcentral.
AAGCCAGACUCCUACGGGAGGCAGCAGUGAGGAAUAUUGGUCAAUGGGAGAGAUCCUGAACCAGCCAAGCCGCGUGAGGGAAGACGGCCCUAUGGGUUGUAAACCUCUUUUGUCGGAGAACAAAACCCGGGACGUGUCCCGGACUGCGUGUAUCCGAAGAAAAAGCAUCGGCUAACCCCGUGCCAGCAGCCGCGGUAAUACGGAGGAUGCGAGCGUUAUCCGGAUUUAUUGGGUUUAAAGGGUGCGUAGGCGGUCCGUUAAGUCAGAUGUGAAAUCCGGGGGCUCAACCCCCGAACUGCAUUUGAAACUGUAGGUCUUGAGUAUCGGAGAGGCAGGCGGAAUUCCUAGUGUAGCGGUGAAAUGCGUAGAUAUUAGGAGGAACACCAGUGGCGAAGGCGGCCUGCUGGACGACAACUGACGGUGAGGCGCGAAAGCGUGGGGAGCAAACAGGAUUAGAUACCCGCGUA